AAAGCUCAAAUUUGAAAUCUGGCGGUUCCGCCGUCCGAGUUGUAACCUGGAGAAGCGUCUUCCGCGCCGGACCGUGUACAAGUCCCUUGGAACAGGGCGUCGUAGAGGGUGAGAAUCCCGUCUUUGACACGGACCCCCGGUGCUAUGCGAUGCGCUCUCGAAGAGUCGAGUUGUUUGGGAAUGCAGCUCAAAAUGGGUGGUAAAUUCCAUCUAAAGCUAAAUAUUGGCGAGAGACCGAUAGCGAA
This 245-nucleotide ribosomal RNA is filed under the name Trechispora sp. 2 CRJH-2017. RNAcentral's name for it is "partial 28S ribosomal RNA". It matches the Rfam family "Eukaryotic large subunit ribosomal RNA", at positions 104 to 344 of the family's 3401-position model. Lineage: Eukaryota; Fungi; Basidiomycota; Agaricomycetes; Trechisporales; Hydnodontaceae. The record is from RNAcentral.